This 375-nucleotide ribosomal RNA is filed under the name Staphylococcus carnosus. RNAcentral describes it as "bacterial SSU rRNA". It matches the Rfam family "Bacterial small subunit ribosomal RNA", at positions 71 to 436 of the family's 1533-position model. Lineage: Bacteria; Bacillati; Bacillota; Bacilli; Caryophanales; Staphylococcaceae. The record is from RNAcentral.
AUGAGGAAGCUUGCUCCUCUGAUGUUAGCGGCGGACGGGUGAGUAACACGUGGGUAACCUACCUAUAAGANUGGAAUAACUCCGGGAAACCGGGGCUAAUGCCGGAUAAUAUGCAGAACCGCAUGGUUCUGCAAUGAAAGACGGUUUUGCUGUCACUUAUAGAUGGACCCGCGCCGUAUUAGCUAGUUGGUAAGGUAACGGCUUACCAAGGCAACGAUACGUAGCCGACCUGAGAGGGUGAUCGGCCACACUGGAACUGAGACACGGUCCAGACUCCUACGGGAGGCAGCAGUAGGGAAUCUUCCGCAAUGGGCGAAAGCCUGACGGAGCAACGCCGCGUGAGUGAUGAAGGUCUUCGGAGUCUGUAAACUCUGU